UUCUGCAAUGCUAUUCACUAAAAAUCUACCGCAACGCUGCGCCCGCCGACGAGCUCUAGGCUGAUCAGCCUUGCGAACGACCGUGGCUACAGCGCUGCGGUAAUUGGUAUUCACUAACGUGUCAAACCUCAUCGACGAACUGUAGGCUGUGAUAACUCGAGGCUGUGCGCACGGACGAGAUAGGGCUUGCAACAAAAACCGUAAAAUGAAACCGAUAACUGUAGAAAUAUAAUAUUUUAUUGACAAAUGGAAUGUUUUAUUCAGUUUAGAAUGUUAUUUAAAUAAAUAUUAUAUAAAAUAAACAUAAAUUUAUACAUCAAACAUUUGAUUUUGUUUUUUAAAGUUAAGAUUUGUUUGAAUACCCUUGCUUCCAUUGCCGUAAAAUAAACAAAUAACACUUAUACGUAGGUACGUAGAGAGUAUUAUAUUCCUUGUACUUAACAUUCCAGAGGCGCACUUUUUGUAUUUGUUUAUUCUCUUUUAAAAAUAAUUAAUAAAAUUAACGUAACUUUACCAACGUUUUAUAAGUUUGGAUGUAUCUAUCAAAUACGUCCACGCCGUCAUUUGACUGACAGUAUCCCGAUGACACUUAUCUCCUUCACAAUAGCAGCCUCAACUAGAAAGAGAGUAGUCUCACAAAGAUUUGUUGCCACUGAAGAGCACCGAGUAGAGACAGAACAAAUUUUGAUAGAGAAUCAGACAACACUAGUUCAUAUCUUAUAGCUAAUGAAUGAGAUAUGACUAAAUUAAAGUCAGCCAUUGUACGAUUUAAUUAAAAAUUUUUUAAAAAAAUUUCAAAUAAUUUUUAUUCAAUUAAAUUUAAAAUAUUAUAAAUGGUAAUUCUUUAUGAUUCUACCAUCCAUUGUGAAGAAGGGGAGAAACCUCAAUUUUGGUUUUUAAAAUACUAAUAGAUUUUACAAUAAUACAUUUCUAAAAAUAUACACUGCCAAACAUAACAAGAGUUAUUGGAAUUAUUAGUUAAAUCAAGUUCAUUAUUGAAAAUAUAAGAUUAAAUUAUGUCAUUUAAUAGUCAUUAGUAAUUUUGAAAUAUAAGUUUCAUCUUAUAUAAUUUUCAAAUAAAAACACAAUUACAAUAAAAUUUUAUAAUUAUAAACUUGUUUCAAUUUCAAAUAAAUAAUUUUUAAUGAAUAUUUUUUUUAAUUUCUUACUCCAUACUAGUUAUAAUAUGAAUUAAUUAUAAUAAUUUUAAAUUAAAAUAUACAUUUACAACAUAAUAUAAUAUUAAUUUUAAUUCACAGGUAGACAAAAAUGUAACAAUAAAAAAGUAUUUGAAAAUAGUUUUAAGAUAUAAGUACAAAAAGUAUAGCUAGCUUAUUUUGACUACAAAAUUUUCUUUUGUGCUUCUUCAUUUUGUAUAGAUGAUGUAACUGCAUCAUAUUAUCAGCAUAUCACAAACAAUACAGCAAUACACUACUAUUAUUGUGGCUGUCCAAGGGUUUGUGUCAUGCUACUAAAUGAGUUUCAAAAUCACCUGAAAAAAAACAAGUAAUGUUAAUUAUUUUUAAUUAGCCACAUAGCCAAUCCUGAAUUUAUGUGUGUCAUGUUUUUUAAAACUAUGAUUUUGAAACAAUUUUUUAUAAUAGUUUCAACCUGAAUGCUAAAUUUAGUGGUCUAAUUUAACAAAAAUUAAUUGACAUGAAUUAAUAAUUUACUACAUGUUUAACUAAGUUGGUUUCUUUCUAACAUAUUAGACAUAGUUAUUUUUAUACAAAACCAGAGGCCACUAAGCUUAUGGAUCACCUAAUGGGAAACGGUUACCAUGAUCCAUGAAUAUUUGUAACACCAGAAGUAUUAUUAUGCAUACUAGAAUACUUGUUACACACCAUUAUUAACUAGCUAGUUGUUCCCUACACAAACAUCUGCUGACACAAUUAAGCUUGUCUCAAUAAAAUAAACAAGUGCACACAAUCACUGCAAAGUAUUCUUUUUCCUGCUUUAAAUUUAUUUAUGUACCUAAUACCAUCAAUUAAUAAAAUUUAAGUUACAAACCUUUAGCUUUAACAACUCUCUGGAACAGGCAUACAUGGUGACAAUUCUUUUUCUAACAUAUUGAUUAAUUCUUCAGAAAGUCGGUAAUGAUGAAUAUAAUCCACAUCACAUAAAGUUGUUGAUUGUCGGCAUUUCUUACAAUCAUUUUCUAUUUUAGCUUCUUUCAACAAAUGGGUCAUUACACAUAAACGGGCAGCAAUCGUUUUUAAACACAAAUUGAUAAUUUCAAUACAAUUAAUAAUCACAGAAUUCAAGAAACAAAUAAA
This is a long non-coding RNA of Galleria mellonella (greater wax moth), 2276 nucleotides long. RefSeq lists it as uncharacterized. The record is from RefSeq and is a predicted model, not a curated record. The transcript is spliced from 2 exons. Lineage: Eukaryota; Metazoa; Arthropoda; Insecta; Lepidoptera; Pyralidae.